GCUAUUUCUUGUAUGGCCUUGGGCAAACCACUUCAAGUCCAUGGAUGUCAGUAAAACAAGGAGGCUGUGAUAUGGCUUGGUGGAAUGCUAUACAGCCCCCUGCAUCCACAGUGUCCUGUCCUUCUGGUGACCUGUCCCAUUCCCCCGGCUCCUCGGUUCUGAACCAGAAGUUCAGAGGUUUGCAGCACUGGUACUUCUGCAGCUCCCAGCAGGCUUUUGCUCCUGAAGGAUGUGGCCAAGUUGGCUGUUGAGAACCAAAGAAAUUUCUGAAGCCUGGAACUGGGGUCUCCACAGCACUGGAAAGAGGGGAGGGACUGGGGUGUAGGGGUGGUUUCCUUGGUCUGCUAGUACAUCCUUGCUGCUGGUAGUGUGGGAAGUGAGGGAAGGGUGCUGAGUGAGCUCAGGGUCAAUGAGUGUCAGUUCCUAGGUUUGGGGUUGUCCUUGUUGUUUAACUUUCUUUUGGAUUCUGGGUGUCCUAAAUGAUAUAAACAGCUGAAGUUGCUUUA
Molecule: non-coding RNA, 506 nt
Organism: Phascolarctos cinereus (koala)
Lineage: Eukaryota; Metazoa; Chordata; Mammalia; Diprotodontia; Phascolarctidae
Source: RefSeq, a predicted model, not a curated record